RNAcentral lists this transfer RNA (71 nucleotides) under archaeon. RNAcentral's name for it is "tRNA-His". It matches the Rfam family "tRNA". From Rfam's summary of the family: Transfer RNA (tRNA) molecules are approximately 80 nucleotides in length. Their secondary structure includes four short double-helical elements and three loops (D, anti-codon, and T loops). RNAcentral also lists the same sequence under 1 other name. The record is from RNAcentral.
CAGGUGGUAGCUCAAUGGUAGAGCCUCCCACUGUGGAUGGGGCUAUUCGGGUUCGACUCCCGACCACCUGA